Molecule: ribosomal RNA, 3113 nt
Filed under: Minisyncoccota bacterium
Lineage: Bacteria; Bacillati; Minisyncoccota
Description: partial 23S ribosomal RNA
Rfam family: Eukaryotic large subunit ribosomal RNA
Source: RNAcentral
AAAAAUAAACAAAAUUCCCACCGACGGAUGUCUAGGUUCUCGCAACGAUGAAGAACGCAGCAAGGCGCGAAAGGCCAUGUAUUUCGCCACGAUUCAUGGAUGUUUGAAUGCAACCGGCGUCUCCUUAUCCCAGGAGACAUGCUUGUUUCAGUGCACCUUACUAACUACAAACCAUAAUGCUGGGGAAAGCUCCCCGGUCAAGUGCGGCACACCCUGGGCCGAGCUAUAUCGUUAGACUGCCCGUGGGCCUGCGACUCACCCACAUAAACAUGCCUGAAACAAACAAGUCUACCCGCUGAACUUAAGCGUAUCACUAAGCGGAGGAAAAGAAACUAACUAAGAUUGCCUCAGUAUCGGCGAGUGAAGAGGCAAAAGCCCAAGGGAGAAUCGUGUGUCACAGCGACACAAGAAUUGUCCCCUCAGCCGGCCGAUUGCUGCCCGACGGAUGGCAAAUGUUCUGAAAUGGACAACCAAAGAGGGUUUAAAGUCCCGUAGCUGUCUCGAAGGCUAGCCAGACGCCAGGCCAGAGUAAGGCUGUCUGGUAACGCAGCCCGAACAGGAGGUAUCCACCUUCUAAGGCUAAAUAUGUGCGAGAAACCGAUAGCAAACUAGUACUGCGAAGGAAAGACCAACACUCUGAAAAGAGGGUUAAUAUUGAAAUCGAUGGGGAGGAAGCGGUGCUUCAUUCGAAUGAGUCGGAGCCCAAAAGGCCGCUCGCGUAAACAUUCCGGUGGAACUCCUAAGGAAUGCGUCGACGCAGACGACCCGUAACCGGCUAAGACGGUAGCGAGAUGAAAUGGAACUGGGAGAGUAGCUUGUCUGCACACGUCUACGAUGUGGGCGACUAUGUGAAUCCUGGUCCCGUUUGAGGGCGCUAUUGCGAUCUCGCGAAUCGGAGAAGCACCGACCCGUCUCGAAACACGGACCAAGGAGUCUAGCAUAUGUGCGAGUGGCACAGUGUCAAACUGUAUCGCGAAAUUAACGUGAAAAAUGCCAAACGCAAGUCGCAGCAUUGGCCGACUCAGCUCGCUUUAGAGCUGGGAAUGCGCAGGAGCACAUCUGCUAGGACCAGAUAGUUGGUGAACUAUGCCUGGAUAGGGUGAAGUCCUCUCAACGGGGGAUGGAGGCUCGUAGCGAUACUGACGUGCAAAUCGUUCGUCAAAUCUGGGCAUAGGGGCGAAAGACCAAUCGAACCAACUAGUAGCUGGUUCCCUCCGAAAUUUCCCUUAGGAAAGCGGGGAUCAUUACAGUUCUGUGAUGUAGAUAUGUCAACUAGGUGCGUGCGUCCUCAGGACGUAUGCCCUCCUAGACAAACAAAGUCGCAGAUGGCGUAGUUCUCUUAACUGAACGCGCCUGUAAAUGCAGGUCCUUAGUUUGCCACCGUGGUAAGCACGAACGGCGAUGAGGGAUGAACCUAACGUCUGGUUAAGGCGCCAAAGUAGCCGCUAAUAGAUUCCAAGAAGGUGUGGGCCGGCAUUGACAGCAGGAAGGUGGCCUUAGAAGUCGGCAUCCUUUAAAGAGUGUGUAACAACUCACCUGCAGAGCCGGGCCGCCCCGAAAAUUGAUGGCGCUAAGCGGUUCGCCGAUACCAGACCGUCCACGCAAAUAUAGGCGUGAACGUGUAGGAGGGCGUGGCCGUCGCGGAGAUGCUCUCACGUGAGUGGGAACGGAACGGCGGCUAGUGCAGAUCUUGGUGGUAGUAGCAAUUAUUCGAAUGUGACCUUCGAAGGCCGAAGUGGAGAUGGUUUCCGCAGCACUGACAAUCAGCUGUGGGUUACUCGGUCCUAAGGCCAAUGGUAACUCUUACUAUCGCUUGACAGCGUUGGCCGAAAGGGAAUGAGGUUAAUAUUCCUCAAGCGUUCCUCGAUAUGAUUGGCAACACUUGUCCUUCCAAAACGCCAAUGCGUACCUCUAGAAGAGCUAUCGUCUCUUUUUAACAGUUAUCGGGCCGCGGAAUGAUUUGCUCAUAGAAACGGCGCGCCGACUGGAAUAGCGUCCUGCUCGGGACGUUAGAAGUGCCCGCAGUGGACCAUGAAAAUUGAAGGGACUUGCACGUCGCGGAACGUCCGUACCUAAUCCGCAACAGGUCUCCUAGGUGAGUAGCCUCUGGCCAAUAGAAUAAAGUAGGUAAGGGAAAUCGGCAAAAUAGAUCCGUAACUUCGGGAGAAGGAUUGGCUCUGACGAUUGGACAGCCUCUCCACGGGUCAUACCGCGGAAACUGCAUAAUCAAUCGCUAAUGAGCUGGAGCUAACAAGGGGAAUCCGACUGUUUAAUAAAAACACAGCAUUGUGAAGGCCGGAAACGGUGAUGACACAAUGUGAUUUCUGCCCAGUGCUUUGAAUGCGACCAGGACGAGAGUCCUCGAAGCGCAGGUUAACGGCGGGAGUAGCUAUGACUUCCUUAAGGUACCCAAGCUGUCAUUUAAAUGAUGAUGGCAUGAAGGGAUUAACGAGAUUCCCACUGUCCCUAUCUACUAUCUAGCGAAACCACGACCAAGUGCAAGGGCUUGGCAAAAUCAGCGGGGAUAUUCGAUCCUGUUGAGCUUGACUUUAGCCUGAUUCUGGAUGGUCCUAGCCCCCGACGUAACGAGGCGGGAGCGAAAGCGCAAGUGAAAGACCGCUUCAGGGGCAUGGACCUCCUCACUCCGUCAGUAAGCAACCUAUAUGGCAUUCCUCUGUAACAGAGGAGCUUAGCGGAAGACACAAUCAGGUGGGGAGUUUGACCGGGGUGGUACAUCUGCGAAAAUUAAGCAGUUGUCCUAAGGUGGGCUCACGGAGGACAGGAACCUCCGGUAGACUAAAGAAGGGGAAAAGCCCGCUUUACUCACACUUCCAGUAAGAGUGAGAGUUGCGAAAGCAAGGCCUAACGAUCAUUAACGAUUCAAUGGAUGAAUCUUAAUGUGUCAGAAAAGUUUCCACAGGAAUAAUGGUCUAUGGCAGGCCUAUUCUAAAGGCACCUGCCGCUUGACGCAUGAUAACGGCUCUUCCUAGCGUAGAGGUCAAGGAAUCUCUAAGCGUAGGAUUGUUCACCCAUCAAAAGGGAACGUCGCUGGGUUUAGACCGUCGUGAGACAGGUCAGUUUUAACCUACUGAUGAGUGCAUUGCGACAGUAGC